RNAcentral lists this long non-coding RNA (612 nucleotides) under Amborella trichopoda. RNAcentral describes it as "long non-coding RNA (ATRI_LNC003127)". Lineage: Eukaryota; Viridiplantae; Streptophyta; Magnoliopsida; Amborellales; Amborellaceae. The record is from RNAcentral.
AACAAUCCAUACAAAAUAAAUUACAGAGAGAAGAGAGUCCUACAAAACUCAGCAAUCAACUAAAUAACCUCAAAGAGAGAGAGAGAGAGAGAGAGAGGAGUCCUUCAAAACCCAACAAUCAACUAAAUAACGCAUACAUCCACAGAGAGGGAGAUAGAGAGAGAGAGCAAGCUACAUAAUGUGAUAACCAAUUAACAGCGAAGAACAGACGAUGAGGUACUCACAUUUCAACUAAAAACAAAAGCCAAAACGGGUGAGGAAAAAAAGAAACAGAGAGAAGACGAAAAGUAAAAAACACACACUAGAUGGCUUUCACAGAGAGACCGAGGGAACCAAAGAAAACAUAGAGAGAGAGAGAGAGAGACGCUAGAAAAGGGAAGAGAGGGAGAGCAACGCUGAAAGCUUCUUGAACUUGUUAGUGCCUCCAGGUGAUCAGGUGGUAUCGGUUACGGGCUUUGUUUUGACCCCAACAGCCAGAUAGCCAUUCGAAACAUGUUUUCAGCAACUUCGUAAAUGAUGCCCAACACCCACCAUGCCCUUUCUCUCCUUCACACGAUCCAUCUUCUGCUUCGUUAGGCAUUUUCAGACAGAGAUAAUUGCAAAGGAGAAAGU